RNAcentral lists this long non-coding RNA (1702 nucleotides) under Mytilus galloprovincialis (Mediterranean mussel). Lineage: Eukaryota; Metazoa; Mollusca; Bivalvia; Mytilida; Mytilidae. The record is from RNAcentral.
GAAAAUGCAAAAACAUGCAAAAGUCACAAUUGAGAACUUGACCUUGAUCUUUGACCUUGACCUAAUUUUCUAAUUUAGGACCCAUGGGACUCAAAUAAAAACAUUCCAGGGUUAUAUGAUUAACGGUUUAUGAGUUAAAAAAAACAUACCGACAAAUUUAUUCCGUAAAGGUAGAUAACUCCUAUAAAAUUUCAUCGAAUCGCUUCGAUCCAAAUUAGCCAAAAAUUCCUGAGGAUGUAACGAACAAUUUGUAAAAAGAAUUUUUGCGAUAUCUUUUUUUGUUACGAAGGAGAUGCACUCUGGUGAUAAACAGUGAAUAGGGAGAUAACUCUUACAAAGAAAAUGGUUCGCCUUAGCAGGGUGUAAUUUAAAAGCGCAUAAACUAUACGAUACCAUAUGAGAAAUAUCUAAGCGACAUAUUGCGAAACAAACAUUUAACGCAAGAACAAAAUUUGGCGGAAAAAAAAAAUAAUAAUAAUUAAAAGCCAAUUGUUCAGAGAACAAUUGAAGGUCUUUCCAUCGGUAAAGAUCAAUUUUGAUAUAAAAAUAUUAAAAAUCAGUCUAAAAUGUCACUUCCUAUGGCUUUAUGAUGUAUAAAUAUGAAUUUAAAGCAAAGGUCAAAAUCUAGAACGUCCUAUUAACCAAUGACCUUGAGCUCAUUUUCAAGGUCACAAACCAAGGACCUCAAAUCAAAAGAUGCAAGGUCUUAUAAUAUGUAUGGAUAAUGAGUUAUAUCACUUUAUGCAUAAUUCUAAAUAUAAGAUGGGCGAAAACUCCCAAUUAUUGAUUACGCACCCUUUCAACCAAAAUUUAUAAGUUACGACAUGUCGUAACUAACAAUUUAGUAAAGAUAACAUGUGUAUAUGUUAUACGGUUUUUGAAGAAAAGUGAAAAUAAGCCAAAAUCAAAAUUUAUAAUAUGACCUUGACCUUUGACCUUGACCUAAUUUUCAUUUUUUUUGGACCAAGGACCUUAAAUCAAAAGACCCUAGGUCUCUAUUACCUAUGGUUUACCAGUUAGAAAUGCAUAUUACUAAUAUCAAAUGCAAAAGGGGGAAUAACUCUCAUAAGGAGUGUUCAUAUCGCUUCGGUUAAAAUAGGACAAAUCAUGCGAAGGAUAUAACGAGCAAUUUUAUAAAAUAAAUUUGUCGCAUUUUUCUACGGUUAGGGAGGAGAUGCACUCUGAUGAUAAACAGUGAAAGGGGAGAUAACUCUUACAAAGAAAAUGGUUCGCCUUAGCAGGGUGAAAUUUAAAAGCGCAUAAACUAUACGAUACCAUAUGAGAAAUAUCUAAGCGACAUAUUGCGAAACAAACAUUUAUCGCAAGAACAAAAUUUGGCGGAAGAAAAAAAAAAAAAAAAAAAAAUAUAAUUAAAAACCAAUUGUUCAGAGAACAAUUGAAAGUCUUUCCACACCACAGAAAUUUGGAUAAGAAGGUAGUUUCUUCAUACUGAUGCGAUAAAUAAUGGUUUAAUUAUCUUUUUGAGUGAUAUAAGGGAGAUAAUAUGCUACUUCCGGUGAAAUGAAUGUCACAUCUGGUCUCAUAUGAUAGCUUCUUUCACACUGAUUGCAAAAAUAUAUAGUUUCUAUAUACUUUUGUAUGUAGAAUGGGAGAUAAUUGGCCACUUCCGGUUUGUUGGAAGUCAUUUUUAGUCUUCAGUAAUUUGUUCAUGUAUCUAUAUGAAAAAAUAUAUGGAUUCUGA